This 5482-nucleotide long non-coding RNA is filed under the name Zalophus californianus (California sea lion). RNAcentral's name for it is "lncRNA (ENSZCAG00015023619.1)". Lineage: Eukaryota; Metazoa; Chordata; Mammalia; Carnivora; Otariidae. The record is from RNAcentral.
GGCCGGUGAGACCAAGGGGAGGAGAGGUGGAAGAAGCAGGAUGGGCUAGGGCCCUGGGCCCUGGGGAAAAGGUGAAGAAGGCCCGAGGGUUAACCCCUGAAAGGCGGUAAUGGGUGGGGGUGGAGAGAAGAGGGCGUACUCCGCGCAUGCGCCAGAAGCAUACUGCGGCGGUCCCGGGGAGGCCGUGCUUUAACUGGCAUCCUCGCUGUGGCUGCAGGCGCCGCUGGUUCUCUUUCGCCUUUCCAGUUCUACCUUGGCCUGUGCAGCCACCCUAGAUCCGCGAACUUUGUGCCGCCGCUCCCUCUACCCUGUCUUGCGGCGGCCAGCGCUAAGAAUUCACGCUACGACACUCGGUUCAGCCAGGAGGUGACACCAGAUGUGGUCAGAAGCCAUGCCACUGGUGAAGAGGUAUAUUGAGCCCCGCCUGGCCCAGUGAGGUUACUAGAGAAUUGGGAGAGGCUUAGAUCAACAUCCUGCACAUGGUUAUCAAAUCAGUGUGAAGUCUUGAAAAUCACCUGGGAUGCCUGUUAAAAAUGCAGAUUCCUGGGCAGCCAGAAACCUUGUCAUUGGUCAAGAGCAACACUAAGACCUACCUGUCACGUAUAUUGAGGCUUCCUGCCCAGUGGGUUCAUCAGCAAGCCAGAACGAAUCACCAUUGCCAUGGAUGUCCUUGUGAGGCAGUUGGGAAGCCUUGUCACAGAAGCUGCAAUGAAUUCUGUCAUGGCCCUGAAGUAUGCUUUGUUCCCAUGGAAAAGAACCUAACUGAAGACUGAUAGCGUGGACAUGUUUCUGGCAUCAGGGAUGAGGGAGACCCUUAAAAACAACUUGUCAAGUCCUCACCAUGAAUACCAUUGGAAUUGCAGUUGGAAUGGCACUGAAUGCAUAGAUUGAUUUUUGGAGAGCUAUCGUCUGUAUAAUCUCAUACAUGAAUGUGGUAUGUUUCUCCUUUUAUUCAGGUCUUAAGUAUUGUGUGUAUCUGUUAUACUUAUUAUCUUCAAUAUUUUUUCCUAGUUUCUGAAGGAAAUAGGCAGAUGUCCUAGGAACUGAGAUUCUGUUUCGAAAAGUACAGAAGAUGUCAUCUGCGUAGACUAGAUUCUUCAGUAUAAAAGGUCAUACAAAAUGUAUUUUUUUGGAUAUCAUGGUAACAUUACUUCCACGUGGCCCUAGGAGUCUGCCUUAUUUAUAGUGUUCCAUAUCCUUGUUUUGUAUUAAUUACAGAGAUGAUUUCUAAUACUAGGGAAAUUAUGUAGUAAGCCAUUUGUUUUUAGUGCUGCCAGCAUCCCAUCAAUUCUUCUUUCCCAUUUAGAAGUGCGUCCUCUAUACUUAAGCUUCUGGGAACUCGGUGCCCAUUGUAUACAGGAUAUGUACCCAUUGAAGACCUUCAUGCCCUCCAAUAUAAGGCUAACUUGUUGUGUUCUCACUACAAAAGUUUAGAAUCAGAGAGGUAAGAGUCCUGUUCUACCUGAUGGUUUUGUUUCAAUUUUAAGAGCACCUCUCCAAGAGGGAGCUAGAGAACAUCCAGGAUUCUGAGAGGGAUUUUGAACUUAGAUCCUAUGAGAAGCAUCAUAGGAAUUAGGGCUGUUUAGAUUGUGGGAGACAACACGUCCAAAAUAAAGAGUUUGAUAAUCUGUUUUCAGAUCUUUGAUAGAGUCAGGAAUAGUUGAUUUUUGCUGCUUUUGAAGGUAGUUCUAGUUAAUGGAUAAACAGAUUUAAGAACUGUCCACAAAGAUGACAGUAUUCUUGGAAGUGAUACCUAAUGGUUUUUCUGUGACCACUUGGAAUGGAAUUUGAGAAUCUCCCUGCAUUUUUUUUAAGAUUUUAUUUAUUUAUUUGACAGAGAGUGAGACAGCGUGAGAGAAAAUACAAGCAGGGGGAGUGGGAGAGGGAGAAGCAGGCUUCCCGCCAAACAGGGAGCCUGAUGCGGGGCUCGAUCCCAGAACCCUGGGAUCAUGACCCGAGCCGAAGGCAGAUGCUUAACAACUGAGCCAUCCAGGUGCCCCGAGAAUCUCCCUGCAUUGUAAUGAGAGGUUGGAUUACAUGCACUUAAAGGUCACAUUUGUUUCUGAGAUUCUGACUAUCUCAAUGAGGACAAAUGAAACUGAGUAUUAUUGUGUGCCUACUUCACAUGUUCCCAUUUCAUCAUCACCACAACUUUCUGAGGCAUCCCAGAGAGAGAGAAUAAAUUUGUUAGGGUAACUUAUCUAAUUAAUGGCAGAGCAUACUUCUCCAGUAUAUCUUAAUUUACAAUAUAUCUCCUCUAGUAUAUCUUGAUUCACAAGAGUAAUUCCUUAAAUUUGUAUAGCACUUUAUCAUUUGGAAACCUUUCACAAACAUGGUUUUAUUUGACCCUUAUAGAAAUUGGGUGAAUUUGGAAGAACAGAUUUCAUGUGUUUAUUUUACAAAUGGAAAAACAUGGGUUUGAAAACUCUUUGAGUUUCUCUGGGGUAGGAGGGAUUUGGGAGACCAUUCAGUACAAUCUCCAUAUUUCGCAGUUAAGGAAACUGAAUACCAGAAUUAAAAAUCAGUGUUAUUUUGUGGGUAUUCAUUGAUUUGUGUUGGAGGGAGGGGAAGAUCAGGCUAAAUGAUUUCCUGUGGGGGACAGAAGGGUUGUGUUGCUUUUAUCCAUCCUUUAGUAUACACUUGAUUAAUGCCAACUCACCACAUUAGAUUAAAUGGCAUUUUAACAAACAUUGAUCAGAGGCACUAACGGUUCAAGGAGAAAACUAAGGCUUUAGGGAGCAAGUUGUGGAAGAUACUCGGGGUCAUGAGAUCCUUCUUGGUAACCCUGAAAGCAUUUAAAGUAUUUCCUGCUCCUGGUUCAAGGGACACCUGGGAAAGCAGGGCCUGAGGGAAUGGGUUAUAUUGUUAGUUUGCAAUCAGUCUGGUAUGGAUGGGAGUGAAACCUCGGCCCCUGCCACGAUUCUGGGAGCCAAGUCACUCAUGGGUCUGUGACAUAGGCUCGGCAUGAUGGCUCCCUUGGAUAUAGCCUAGGUUGCAGAUUUAGAACCUCAGGAAUGGAAGGACCUUAAGAGCCUCAUAUCCAAGCCUGCUUAUUUCAGUUUGAUCCUAAUUCAAGUUCUUUUAAGAUAUACCCAACAAAUGGCCUUAAAUUUAUCCAGUGGGUCAGUACAAUUAGUGAUGGGGAAGUCCUUCCUAAGUCACCUUGUCUCUUUGAAGACUCACGUGCAGUACUGAGCUGAAAUGUUCUUCUAUAGCUUCAGCUUAAUCAGCAUAUUUGUAUUGUACCCCAAGUCAAAAAUAUUGCUUUAUUCUCUCUCCUGCAUCUGCAGUUUCUUCUCUCUGCUGCCUUUUGAGCUACGACACGGUGCUGGGAGAUGGGGAUAUGGAGACGAAUUUAGACACAGUCCCUGCCCUCAGGAGUUCUCAGUCUAGUGAGAGAGUUUGACAUGUACACGGAUAAUUACAACAGUAUGGUAUGCUCUACAGUGGAGGUACGUACAAGAUACUAUGGGGUUCGGAAGAGAAAUCAUUUGAUUGAGUAUGGAGAUGCCAGAGGCUGGAGGAACUGAUGCUUCAGGGGAUUCUUAAAAGAAGUAAAGCUUGACCAGGAAGAAAACAGGGAAGGACCUUUUAAGCAAAGGCAUGGACAUUGGAGAUAGAAUGAUGAAAUGGGGGGACUACGAGUAGUUCCUGAAAUUGGGUUAGAAAUGUAGGCUGAUGAUAGAUCCUUAUAUAGUAUUCCAUGAAAUGCGGAUUCCAUUUUGAGUGUUUCAGUAGGAGAUGCAUUUGAUGGUCACUCUGGCAGUACUAUAGAGUAUGUUCUGGAAGAUCUUCAAAUCCGGACAGGGAGAUUAGUGAGAAGGCUACGGUAGUAAGUAAGAUGAUAAAUGAUCUGAGGCCAGAAGGAGUGGGAGUGGAGAAGAGGACCUGACUUCUUAGAGGCUGUACAAACACGGACCUUAUAGAGGGGCCAGUUAAGGCUCUCAGACUUGGGCAAAUGUGCAUUCGCCUACCUCCAUCCCUGGCCUUGAUGAGAAAUCCCCCUCAUGUUUUCUAGAUGGGCAUUGCUCCUGGUCUCUUUUGGACCAGGGCUUGACUGGACCGUGCUUUGCAGGUUUCUCUUGGGGUGCAGCUGUAUAGGAAAUGUUGAUUCUCAGACAUCUGAACAGCUGCAGACCUCUCAUAGGAUUACUUAGUUCCUGGUCCUUCUCAUCAGUAGCUGCCCUCCCUCAUGACCACAUGUCGCCCAAAGUCAGAGCAGAGGCUCUCCUUAUCUAAAACCCACUCGGGGAAGAGGUGGCCCUCAUUGUUACUGUCUCAGUUCUGUUUUGCUUAGGGACUUGACAGUGUUUAUGGUUACACCUCCCAGUAAAACAUGUUCAGUAAUCAAAAAUCUGUAGAUGCAGUAUUCAUUUCCUCUUUCCUCAAAGCAAGAGGAACAUGUCCUUUAGAAGAUUCUCCACCUAGGGCUCAGAGUAGUGACCCUGGGGAUUCAGAGAAUGGAUUUCUGUGACUAGAACGAUUAACAGGAGAUUAUAGUUAAGUAGACCUUAGGUAUUUUCAGUGGACCCUGUGUAGGUAGCCAUCCUAGAGGGCACUAAGGGGAAGAAGGGGUGGGAGAGGAAGCUCCGAGUAGGACAGCAGAGCAGGACAGUAAGAGUUUGGGCCUUGGGACUAAAUAGCCUAGGCUCAGAUCUGCUUUUAGAUUCACCAGUGUGGUGUCAAGCAUGGUUUUUCACCUCUCUGGGGCUUUCCUUUCACUUAUGUAAAAUAGGGGUAAUAAUCUUCUUUUGCAGUGGUUUGGGGGGUGGUAAUAGCAAUGAUUUUUAAGGAUUUAAUGGGAUUGUUCAUGUAAAUUGCUUAGAACGAGUCAGAAGUAUGUCAAAUGCUGUAUCAACUAUAGUUGCUGCUGAUAAUGAUGUUGACUGUGAUUAAAAGAAGGAUUAAAAGAAGAUAGUUAACUAGAGGUGCUUAUAUUUUGCAUUGUCAAUGAAACUCUUGGGGUUCGAGGAAGAAAAGAAAAUGAACCGACGUGAAGGUUUUCAAUGGUAUGCUAGUAUGAAGUCAGUUCUCUGCCUUCUUUUUCUUCUCUGCCAAAUGGCUUGGGAAACCAGAUGAAUUUUGUCCAUGCCCUGAUCACUAAUCUAUUGCCUUUGCUCUUAUUUCCAAAUAGAAACCUGUUGAAAAGUUGUGUUACACCUGAAUAAAGCUUAUCCUAAAAAUGUAGAAAAAUGCUUUGGAGUUGGUCAAAACUGGACUUGAAACCUGACUCAACUGUUUACUAGCUGUGUGAUCUAAGGCAUGUUACUUAACCUCAUUGAACCUCAGUUGCUUCAUCUAAUAUCAUAAUUAAUUUGCAGGGUUUCUAUGAGGACAUUUGUCAAGUGUGUGUCAUAAGCACUCUAUCAAUCAUAGCUAUCAUUGUUAGUUCUUGGGAUGCUCACCACGUGACAGAGACAACAGCAGGCCCUGGUGGCUGGGAGGACGGCAUGGAUCCAACCUCAACCUGGAGUUGUGCUCU